This 539-nucleotide unclassified non-coding RNA is filed under the name Hevea brasiliensis (rubber tree). Lineage: Eukaryota; Viridiplantae; Streptophyta; Magnoliopsida; Malpighiales; Euphorbiaceae. The record is from RNAcentral.
CCAGUGUGCUUUUGCCCCCCUUAGAGUAAGGCACAAUGUGAUCGUAAUCGUGGCACAAGCAACCGGGACAACCCACAAGCUUUCUAAAGACAAUAUUACCAAGGGGGUCGCGGCGCCACCGGUCUGGGUCUCGGCCCUUGACCUUCUCCGCCUUCUCCCAGCAUUGCUGCUUCACGCUGUAUGGAAAGCUCCUCGGUUCAGGGUUUGAAUUUGCGUGCUCCGGGAAGAUUCGGAGGUCUUCAAACAGAGCGACAUUGUCUUCUUGAGUGACGAGCUCGCUGUCGAGGAGGGAGGCCGAGUGGGCUAUUGUAGAUUGACGAGACCUGGGUAGAGAAGAGUGAGGCCCAGAGGGAAAGGUGGUAGUAGUUCGAGCAGAUCUGGGUGGAGAAGAGGGACGAGCUCGCCUUCCAGCAGUGUCUUUGGCUGGCCUCAUCUUCUCUUGUUGUAAAAUUGAUGAAUUAUGAAGGUUGCAACACCAGUGAUCGAUGGACAAUGGAUUUAAUUUGGGUAAUUGGGAUCUUCCACACCAAUCCAGCUUC